Molecule: ribosomal RNA, 448 nt
Filed under: uncultured bacterium
Lineage: Bacteria
Description: bacterial SSU rRNA
Rfam family: Bacterial small subunit ribosomal RNA
Source: RNAcentral
AAUCAACGCUGGCGGCGCGCUUAACACAUGCAAGUCGAACGAGAAAGGGGAGCAAUCCCCGAGUAAAGUGGCGUACGGGUGAGUAACACGUGGGUAAUCUGCCUCUGGGUGGGGAAUAACUCUGGGAAACCGGAGCUAAUACCGCAUAAGACCGGAAGGUGAAAGGUGAAAAUCGCCGAGAGAGGAGCCCGCGGCUGAUUAGCUGGAUGGCAGGGUAACGGCCUACCAUGGCAUUGAUCAGUAGCCGGCCUGAGAGGGCACACGGCCACACUGGCACUGAAACACGGGCCAGACUCCUACGGGAGGCAGCAGUGGGGAAUCUUGCACAAUGGGGGAAACCCUGAUGCAGCGACGCCGCGUGAGCGAUGAAGCCCUUCGGGGUGUAAAGCUCUUUCGGCAGGGACGAUAAUGACGGUACCUGAAGAAGAAGCUGCGGCUAACUACGUGC